Molecule: ribosomal RNA, 986 nt
Filed under: Bacillus subtilis subsp. subtilis
Lineage: Bacteria; Bacillati; Bacillota; Bacilli; Caryophanales; Bacillaceae
Description: bacterial SSU rRNA
Rfam family: Bacterial small subunit ribosomal RNA
Source: RNAcentral
GGGGGUGACGUUGUCCGGAAUAUUGCGGCGUAAGGGCUCGCAGGCGGUUUCUUAAGUCUGAUGUGAAAGCCCCCGGCUCAACCGGGGAGGGUCAUUGGAAACUGGGGAACUUGAGUGCAGAAGAGGAGAGUGGAAUUCCACGUGUAGCGGUGAAAUGCGUAGAGAUGUGGAGGAACACCAGUGGCGAAGGCGACUCUCUGGUCUGUAACUGACGCUGAGGAGCGAAAGCGUGGGGAGCGAACAGGAUUAGAUACCCUGGUAGUCCACGCCGUAAACGAUGAGUGCUAAGUGUUAGGGGGUUUCCGCCCCUUAGUGCUGCAGCUAACGCAUUAAGCACUCCGCCUGGGGAGUACGGUCGCAAGACUGAAACUCAAAGGAAUUGACGGGGGCCCGCACAAGCGGUGGAGCAUGUGGUUUAAUUCGAAGCAACGCGAAGAACCUUACCAGGUCUUGACAUCCUCUGACAAUCCUAGAGAUAGGACGUCCCCUUCGGGGGCAGAGUGACAGGUGGUGCAUGGUUGUCGUCAGCUCGUGUCGUGAGAUGUUGGGUUAAGUCCCGCAACGAGCGCAACCCUUGAUCUUAGUUGCCAGCAUUCAGUUGGGCACUCUAAGGUGACUGCCGGUGACAAACCGGAGGAAGGUGGGGAUGACGUCAAAUCAUCAUGCCCCUUAUGACCUGGGCUACACACGUGCUACAAUGGACAGAACAAAGGGCAGCGAAACCGCGAGGUUAAGCCAAUCCCACAAAUCUGUUCUCAGUUCGGAUCGCAGUCUGCAACUCGACUGCGUGAAGCUGGAAUCGCUAGUAAUCGCGGAUCAGCAUGCCGCGAGUGAAUACGUUCCCGGGCCUUGUACACACCGCCCGUCACACCACGAGAGUUUGUAACACCCGAAGUCGGUGAGGUAACCUUUUAGGAGCCAGCCGCCGAAGGUGGGACAGAUGAUUGGGGUGAUCGAAAAAGGGGGGACCCCACAUAUAAAGGGGG